UACGGGGGGUGCAAACGUUGUUCGGAAUUAUUGGGCGUAAAGCGCGCGCAGGCGGUCCUUUAAGUCUGAUGUGAAAGCCCACGGCUCAACCGUGGAGGGUCAUUGGAAACUGGGGGACUUGAGUACAGAAGAGAAGAGUGGAAUUCCACGUGUAGCGGUGAAAUGCGUAGAGAUGUGGAGGAACACCAGUGGCGAAGGCGACUCUUUGGUCUGUAACUGACGCUGAGGCGCGAAAGCGUGGGGAGCAAACAGG
RNAcentral lists this ribosomal RNA (253 nucleotides) under uncultured bacterium. Its description in RNAcentral is "partial 16S ribosomal RNA". It matches the Rfam family "Bacterial small subunit ribosomal RNA", at positions 524 to 776 of the family's 1533-position model. The record is from RNAcentral.